RNAcentral lists this ribosomal RNA (465 nucleotides) under uncultured bacterium. Its description in RNAcentral is "partial 16S ribosomal RNA". It matches the Rfam family "Bacterial small subunit ribosomal RNA", at positions 28 to 507 of the family's 1533-position model. The record is from RNAcentral.
GACGAACGCUGGCGGCGUGCUUAACACAUGCAAGUCGAGCGAGGCCCCUCCUUCGGGAGGGUGUCCUAGCGGCGAACGGGUGAGUAACACGUGGGCAACCUGCCCUCAGCUCUGGGAUAACUCCGGGAAACCGGGGCUAAUACCGGAUACGACCUCCACGGGCAUCUGCGGAGGUGGAAAGUUUUUCGGCUGAGGAUGGGCCCGCGGCCUAUCAGCUAGUUGGUGGGGUAGUGGCCCACCAAGGCGACGACGGGUAGCCGGCCUGAGAGGGCGACCGGCCACACUGGGACUGAGACACGGCCCAGACUCCUACGGGAGGCAGCAGUGGGGAAUAUUGCGCAAUGGGCGAAAGCCUGACGCAGCGACGCCGCGUGAGGGACGAAGGCCUUCGGGUUGUAAACCUCUUUCAGCAGGGACGAAGCGAAAGUGACGGUACCUGCAGAAGGAGCACCGGCCAACUACGUG